GCGAGAUAGAUGGUGAAAGAGGACGAGGGAGUUCAUUCUUGGUUCGCCCUUGGUUCCCCCUUAA
This 64-nucleotide small RNA is filed under the name Thalassiosira gravida. RNAcentral describes it as "partial transfer-messenger RNA". Lineage: Eukaryota; Bacillariophyta; Thalassiosirophyceae; Thalassiosirales; Thalassiosiraceae. The record is from RNAcentral.